RNAcentral lists this ribosomal RNA (253 nucleotides) under uncultured bacterium. Its description in RNAcentral is "partial 16S ribosomal RNA". It matches the Rfam family "Bacterial small subunit ribosomal RNA", at positions 524 to 776 of the family's 1533-position model. The record is from RNAcentral.
UACAGAGGUCUCAAGCGUUGUUCGGAUUCAUUGGGCGUAAAGGGUGCGUAGGCGGCGCGGUAAGUCGGGUGUGAAAUCUCGGAGCUUAACUCCGAAACUGCAUUCGAUACUGCCGUGCUUGAGGACUGGAGAGGAGACUGGAAUUUACGGUGUAGCGGUGAAAUGCGUAGAUAUCGUAAGGAACACCAGUGGCGAAGGCGGCUUUCUGGUCUGUAACUGACGCUGAGGCGCGAAAGCGUGGGGAGCAAACAGG